AGUGGACGCCGGCGGCGUGCUUAACACAUGCAAGUCGAACGAGAACGGAAUAUAGCUUGCUAUAUUUGUCAGCUAAGUGGCGCACGGGUGAGUAAUGUAUAGAUAACCUGCCCUUAAGAAAGGAAUAACAGUUGGAAACGACUGCUAAUGCCCUAUAUGCCUUUAAUACAUAAGUAUGCAAGGGAAACGCUUUAGUGCUUAAGGAUGGGUCUGUAUGGUAUCAGCUUGUUGGUGAGGUAAUGGCUCACCAAGGCUAUGACGCCUAACUGGUUUGAGAGGAUGAUCAGUCACACUGGAACUGAGACACGGUCCAGACUCCUACGGGAGGCAGCAGUGGGGAAUAUUGCACAAUGGACGAAAGUCUGAUGCAGCAACGCCGCGUGGAGGAUGACACAUUUCGGUGCGUAAACUCCUUUUAUAUAGGAAGAUAAUGACGGUACUAUAUGAAUAAGCACCGGCUAACUCCGUGCCAGCCGCCGCAGUAA
This 485-nucleotide ribosomal RNA is filed under the name uncultured bacterium. Its description in RNAcentral is "partial 16S ribosomal RNA". It matches the Rfam family "Bacterial small subunit ribosomal RNA", at positions 29 to 523 of the family's 1533-position model. The record is from RNAcentral.